This 313-nucleotide unclassified non-coding RNA is filed under the name plant metagenome. RNAcentral's name for it is "partial contains 5.8S ribosomal RNA, internal transcribed spacer 2, and large subunit ribosomal RNA". The stretch from base 1 to 105 matches the Rfam family "5.8S ribosomal RNA", at positions 50 to 154 of the family's 154-position model. The record is from RNAcentral.
GAAAUGCGAUAAUUAAUGUGAAUUGCAGAAUUCAGUGAAUCAUCGAGUCUUUGAACGCACAUUGCGCCCCCUGGUAUUCCGGGGGGCAUGCCUGUCCGAGCGUCAUUGCUGCCCUCAAGCACGGCUUGUGUGUUGGGCUUCCGUCCCUGGCAACGGGGACGGGCCCAAAAGGCAGUGGCGGCACCAUGUCUGGUCCUCGAGCGUAUGGGGCUUUGUCACCCGCUCCCGUAGGUCCAGCUGGCAGCUAGCCUCGCAACCAAUCUUUUUAACCAGGUUGACCUCGGAUCAGGUAGGGAUACCCGCUGAACUUAAG